UGCGGAGGGAUCAUUACCGAGUCUAACAACUCAUCAACCCUGUGAACAUACCUAAACGUUGCUUCGGCGGGAACAGACGGCCCCGUAACACGGGCCGCCCCCGCCAGAGGACCCCCUAACUCUGUAUCUGUAAUGUUUUUUCUGAGUAAACAAGCAAAUAAAUUAAAACUUUCAACAACGGAUCUCUUGGCUCUGGCAUCGAUGAAGAACGCAGCGAAAUGCGAUAAGUAAUGUGAAUUGCAGAAUUCAGUGAAUCAUCGAAUCUUUGAACGCACAUUGCGCCCGCCAGUAUUCUGGCGGGCAUGCCUGUUCGAGCGUCAUUACAACCCUCAGGCCCCCGGGCCUGGCGUUGGGGAUCGGCGGAGCCCUCUGUGGCACACGCCGUCCCCCAAAUACAGUGGCGGUCCCGCCGCAGCUUCCAUUGCGUAGUAGCUAACACCUCGCAACUGGAGAGCGGCGCGGCCACGCCGUAAAACACCCAACUUCUGAAUGUUGACCUCGAAUCAGGUAGGAAUACCCGCUGAACUUAAGCAUAU
Molecule: ribosomal RNA, 536 nt
Filed under: fungal endophyte sp. P1701B
Lineage: Eukaryota; Fungi
Also listed under: 1 other name
Description: eukaryotic LSU rRNA
Rfam family: 5.8S ribosomal RNA (bases 167-320)
Source: RNAcentral